Molecule: ribosomal RNA, 981 nt
Filed under: Bacillus sp. TN33
Lineage: Bacteria; Bacillati; Bacillota; Bacilli; Caryophanales; Bacillaceae
Description: bacterial SSU rRNA
Rfam family: Bacterial small subunit ribosomal RNA
Source: RNAcentral
GUAAAACGCUUCCGUUUGUUUAGGGGAAAGAACCAAAGUGUCGUAGAAGUCAACUGGCUUCGGCACCUUUCGACGGGUACCCUAACCCAGGAUAGGCCAACGGCCUAACGUACGGUGCCCAGCCGGCCGCCGGUAAUUACGUAAGGUGGCCAAGGGCUUUUUCCGGGAAUUAGUUGGGCGUUAAAUGGGCUUUGCAGGGCGGUUUCCUGAAGUCCUGAUGUGAAAGGCCCCGGGCUCAAGCCGGGGAGGGUCAUUGGAAACUGGGAAACUUGAGUGCAGAAGAGGAGAGUGGAAUUCCACGUGUAGCGGUGAAAUGCGUAGAGAUGUGGAGGAACACCAGUGGCGAAGGCGACUCUCUGGUCUGUAACUGACGCUGAGGAGCGAAAGCGUGGGGAGCGAACAGGAUUAGAUACCCUGGUAGUCCACGCCGUAAACGAUGAGUGCUAAGUGUUAGGGGGUUUCCGCCCCUUAGUGCUGCAGCUAACGCAUUAAGCACUCCGCCUGGGGAGUACGGUCGCAAGACUGAAACUCAAAGGAAUUGACGGGGGCCCGCACAAGCGGUGGAGCAUGUGGUUUAAUUCGAAGCAACGCGAAGAACCUUACCAGGUCUUGACAUCCUCUGACAACCCUAGAGAUAGGGCUUUCCCUUCGGGGACAGAGUGACAGGUGGUGCAUGGUUGUCGUCAGCUCGUGUCGUGAGAUGUUGGGUUAAGUCCCGCAACGAGCGCAACCCUUGAUCUUAGUUGCCAGCAUUCAGUUGGGCACUCUAAGGUGACUGCCGGUGACAAACCGGAGGAAGGUGGGGAUGACGUCAAAUCAUCAUGCCCCUUAUGACCUGGGCUACACACGUGCUACAAUGGACAGAACAAAGGGCUGCAAGACCGCAAGGUUUAGCCAAUCCCAUAAAUCUGUUCUCAGUUCGGAUCGCAGUCUGCAACUCGACUGCGUGAAGCUGGAAUCGCUAGUAAUCGCGAUCAGCAU